This 2902-nucleotide long non-coding RNA is filed under the name Xyrichtys novacula (pearly razorfish). The record is from RNAcentral. Lineage: Eukaryota; Metazoa; Chordata; Actinopteri; Labriformes; Labridae.
AUUGCUUUCACAUUUCAGUUCACACAUAUUAUCAUAUCAGACCUCUUGGGUUGAUGACACCGAGGAUGGGUUAGGGGGGCAGAGGGGGGCUUAACGAUGUGAAGACAGAGGAGAGGAACUCUGACUGCUGAUUAGCUCGCCGAGACAACAGGGUGAUAAUGCGGGUGCUCAGAUUAGGACAACUCGACUCGUUUUAAAGAUAAAAUAAAACGAUCAGGAGCAUGAAAGGGGAUAAGCACCUCUGCUCAAGAGCUACAAACUCUUUUCCGUGCUAUCGUGACAAAAAUGAUCUAUCAAUCAAAUUUCAAGUCAUUUUUUAGGGGCAUGUUGCCUUCGCUGAUAGGACAGCCAAAGUGAGACAGAAAAUGUGUGGAGAAGAGAGCAGGGGGAAGAAAUGCGCCAAAUUUGCAUAAGAAAUCUGCAAAAGUUUGACAUUAAAAGCAGGUCUAGACCACAUUUUUGUAACCAAGUGACCUGGCAUUAAUGCACCUAGAACCUAGAGAGGAGUCAUUUUCUUGCAGGAGGCAGAAACCUCGAACAAGACCAGAAUCAUUGGUGGACAUCUACUGUGGCUGCCUUGACAGUUUAGGCUGAGAAAGUGGGAAGGACAGUGGCAGACAGGGACAGAUAUCAGAUGAGACAUGAGAACAGAAAGGUAGACAGUAAGGUAGACAGACUUAAAGAGAGGAAGACAGAGGACAGACAGAAGGUUUUAUGGAUUGACACCAACCUGCUAAUGGGACUGGAGAUGGACAUUGGCUAUAAUCCCAUGUAUAUGUUCACUAAUGCAUAUGUCCUAUUAAAAAAAAAAUCCUUAAUCCUAAAGCAUGAUUGACUUACUGACAGAAAGAUAAGCAGGGAGACAGACGUACAGACAGGAAGGACAGACUUAUAGGCAAGAAGACAUAAAGAAAACCAGACAGAGAAAGACCUCGCAAAAAAAGAUGGACAGACAGGCAGGAGACAGACUUGCUAACAGAAAGACGGUUAUACAGAGAGGAAGACAGACUGACUCGGAAAGGUAACGAAAAACAGGCUGAAAGACGACAGGCAGACAUUUAGACAGACACAGAGGAGGAUGGACAAACAGAAGAAAAGACAGAAGAGAGGUACAAAAUAACUGACAGACCACAUAGGGACAGCUAGACAGAAAGACAGACAUGAGGACAGAAUCAAAAACACAAAGACACAAAGAUUCAUAAACAUCAACACGAAAGGACAAAAAAGACAGGAGUAAGGAUGCAAAGACACAGAAACAGACCCACAGAUACAAAGAUUUAGGGACAGACAUAAAGUCAUGCAUUAAGAUACAAAGACAGACGCAAUGACGCAAAGACACAUGGACAUAUGCAGGAAACAAACUCAGACACAAAAAACAUACGCAAUGUAUAAAGACACAAAGAUGCAAAUGCACAAAAGGAGACAAAAAUACACAAAGAGGGACUCAAAGACUGAGAGACAGGAGGACAGCAGACUGACAGACAGAAAUGGAGACAGAAAGACAGAGACACAGAAAGACUUAAAUACAGGAGACAUUCUGACAGACAGUUGAACAGACAGGUAUCAGAAGUCCAAAGGCUUAGAGACGGAGGACAGACGGAUGUGCAGACGGGUGCAGAGAAAGAGAUUUACAGAAUAUACAGAUAGGAGGAAAUGCAGAUGGAAAUGUAGAUAGACGUACAGCAACAGAAAUAACAAACAAGUAAUAAUACCAAUGACAAUGGAAGCAGUAUGACUGAUAAUAAAAGUAUGACGGAUAAUCUCCUAAUAAGAAAAUUAAAAGAAAUACGAAUUCCUCAGGACUCAUGCUAGCACCCUUGUUAGCAUCCCUGCAGCGGAGGACAGGGUGAAAGUAUACGGCCUUUCCCUUUAUGGAUAUGAGACAAAAGGGAGGCUGUGAUGGUGGAGGCACAGACAGGGCGAGCGGGCGGUGGAGGGGGAGCCUAAUGGCCGUGAUUAAUGACAAUGGGCCAGAGGAGAGCUGGGACACAGGCGCUACAUAUAUCAUCCUUUCUCAUCAGUGUGUGCACCUCUGCGGCCCUCUUCUCUCUGCAAAACCAGCACACUACAGUAAAAGACAAAAAAAAAAAAAAAAAAUCAUCUGCCUCCCUACCACCAAGAAGCUGCUCGCUUGGUUCUUUACGGGCCUUGUGUUUGAUGGCCAAGCAGGGAAAUGACAUGUAGAAUAAGAUAUAAUGAGUAAAGGGGGAUGGCUGUGUGUGUGAUCGCUCAUGUUUUUCAUGAUCUGAAUACUUCCUGCGCUUAAGUCACAUUUCCAAGGUCUAAUCUUCCAUAUGGAGAGAGAUGAGUUAUUGGCUAUUUAUGAAUAGAAGUGAUGAUGAAUGGGGCUGCAUUUAUCUGCAUAAGUAACUCCAAGGGCUGGCACCGAGGUUCAGGCAGGCUAUAAUAAACAGAGUUUGCACUCAGGGGCAGCUCUUUAUUUAUGAGGCUCUGAGAACAGACAUUAUGUGGCCAUCAUCAGCUCCUCCUGUUCCCUGGAGGAGAGGACGGGAGUAGCUCCAAUACAUGCAGUAGUUUGAGAGUUUAAAGUACUCUGACCAGGCAGUAAUCAAGGCUACACAGGGUUUAGUUAUGACCAAUUAAUGAACUAUCCUCAUGGGAAUUUUAACACUCUCUGGGAAUUGCGGUUUUAAUUAGGAGGCACCUCUGCUAAAGCUUUCGACGUACAAAAACAUGGCAAAUUAAUCCCCAAUUAACACUACAGGCAGAUUUACUCUUUAUGAAACUGCUUUCUGCAUAAAGGGAUGAAAAUAUCACAUAUGUAAAAAGGUUUAGUGUCUGUAUUCAAAAUGGAAACACCACAUCCAUAUCCUCAACACCCUCCUGCUGGGCCAAUUUAGUGGCCAUCCCCUGAGCUCUGCUGCUUAGACCAAGCGGUUUU